GGCUCCAUGGUCUAGUGGUACGAUUCGUGCUUUGGGCUACUACGCAAGCAACUGCACGAGGUCCCGGGUUCGAUCCCCGGUGGAGCCC
Sporothrix brasiliensis 5110 is the source of this 88-nucleotide non-coding RNA. The record is from the annotation of a RefSeq genome assembly. NCBI's taxonomy places the organism in Eukaryota, Fungi, Ascomycota, Sordariomycetes, Ophiostomatales, Ophiostomataceae.